AACGAACGCUGGCGGCAUGCCUAACACAUGCAAGUCGAACGAGACCUUCGGGUCUAGUGGCGCACGGGUGCGUAACGCGUGGGAACCUGCCCUUAGGUUCGGAAUAACUCCCCGAAAGGGGUGCUAAUACCGGAUAAUGUCUUCGGACCAAAGAUUUAUCGCCUUUGGAUGGGCCCGCGUUGGAUUAGCUAGUUGGUAGGGUAAAAGCCUACCAAGGCGACGAUCCAUAGCUGGUCUGAGAGGAUGAUCAGCCACACUGGGACUGAGACACGGCCCAGACUCCUACGGGAGGCAGCAGUGGGGAAUAUUGGAAAAUGGGCGAAAGCCUGAUCCAGCUAUGCCGCGUGAGUGAUGAAGGCCUUAGAGUUGUAAAGCUCUUUUACCCGGGAUGAUAAUGACAGUACCGGGAGAAUAAGCCCCGGCUAACUCCGUG
This 433-nucleotide ribosomal RNA is filed under the name uncultured bacterium. RNAcentral's name for it is "partial 16S ribosomal RNA". It matches the Rfam family "Bacterial small subunit ribosomal RNA", at positions 29 to 507 of the family's 1533-position model. The record is from RNAcentral.